Gasterosteus aculeatus aculeatus (three-spined stickleback) is the source of this 633-nucleotide long non-coding RNA. The record is from Ensembl. Lineage: Eukaryota; Metazoa; Chordata; Actinopteri; Perciformes; Gasterosteidae.
CGUAAACAAACGUAAACGCGUAUCGUUCAAACUCCGUGAACGACACGGAGAUGGAAACACGGUCGGUGGAGCCGCGCAGACGAUUACGCGGAAAGUUUCACGUGAUGGGACUUUUCCGGAAUCACCUACCGGCUUCCGGGAAGAUUUUCCGCCCGUCCGGCUGUGCGGACUCAAGGAGAGAAAGGUAACGCCACGGUGCCGAGCCAAAUUGUGUAUUAAAUUGCUUAAAAUACAUCAUGUUACGCCAAGUUUCGAAGAGACUCGGGAAGGACUGCGGCGACUACGUUUCGCCUCUUCGGUCCGGAGAGACACGCUGCCGGGGCGGACUUUCUUCACUGCUUUCCGCCGUGCCUGCUUCUGUUUUCGGGGAUUAGCCGGCUAGCUUGCUGCUAGCAUUCCGUGCUAACGCGACGUGGGUGUUCUUUCUUCGCUUUAGCACGUCCUGCUAGCGAGCUAACACGCUCACGGUGGACGCCGCGAGAGUCCCCCGUUCCUGCCCGAGGAAAAAGCAUUCCUCUGUGUAACCACACUUAGGACCUUUAAAAAGAUUCAUUAAUAUCUGCACACCGGUCCACGUCCGCCUCCCCAUGCAGAACUCCGUGAAAUGAAUAAAGCACCACAGCCUCUAACAGG